CCGUGGGGUUCGGCGCGGCUACGUGCAGAAUCCGUCUAGCUAAAAUGUAAUUUCAGAUUGGACAAGUACUGGGAUUCCCAUCGAAAUGUCAUCAUGUGGCUGGACCAUCGAGCAGUCAGUCAAGUUAACAGGAUCAAUGAGACCAAGCACAGUGUCCUCCAGUACGUCGGGGGGGUGAUGUCUGUGGAAAUGCAGGCCCCGAAACUUCUGUGGCUGAAAGAGAACUUGAGAGAGACUUGCUGGGAUAAGGCGGGACAUUUCUUUGAUCUCCCAGACUUCUUAUCGUGGAAGGCAACAGGUGUCACAGCACGGUCUCUCUGCUCCCUGGUGUGUAAGUGGACAUAUUCAGCAGAGAAAGGCUGGGACGACAGUUUCUGGAAAAUGAUUGGUUUGGAAGACUUUGUUGCAGAUAAUUACAGCAAAAUAGGAAACCAAGUGCUACCUCCUGGAGCUUCUCUUGGAAAUGGGCUCACACCAGAGGCAGCAAGAGACCUUGGCCUUCUCCCUGGGAUUGCGGUCGCAGCUUCACUCAUUGAUGCCCAUGCAGGAGGACUAGGAGUGAUUGGGGCAGAUGUGAGAGGGCACGGCCUCGUCUGUGAGGGGCAGCCAGUGACGUCACGGCUGGCUGUCAUCUGUGGAACGUCUUCUUGUCACAUGGGGAUCAGCAAAGACCCGAUUUUUGUACCAGGCGUCUGGGGGCCUUAUUUCUCAGCCAUGGUACCUGGGUUCUGGCUGAAUGAAGGUGGUCAGAGCGUUACUGGAAAAUUGAUAGACCACAUGGUACAAGGCCAUGCUGCUUUUCCAGAACUACAAGUAAAGGCCACAGCCAGGUCACCGGAUUGAAACUGUCUCAGGACCUCGAUGAUCUUGCCAUUCUCUACCUGGCCACAGUUCAAGCCAUUGCU
RNAcentral lists this small RNA (905 nucleotides) under Pan troglodytes (chimpanzee). RNAcentral's name for it is "processed transcript". The record is from RNAcentral. Lineage: Eukaryota; Metazoa; Chordata; Mammalia; Primates; Hominidae.